UGGGGAAUCUUCCGCAACGGACGAAAGUCUGACGGAGCAACGCCGCGUGUAUGAUGAAGGUCUUCGGAUUGUAAAGUACUGUCAUUGGGGAAGAACGGUUUUCUUGAGAAUAUUGAGAAGACAUGACGGUACCCAAGGAGGAAGCCCCGGCUAACUACGUGCCAGCAGCCGCGGUAAUACGUAGGGGGCAAGCGUUGUCCGGAAUUAUUGGGCGUAAAGGGCGCGUAGGCGGGCCUUUAAGUCCGGUGUGAAAGAUCAGGGCUCAACCCUGAGAGUGCAUCGGAAACUGGAGGCCUUGAGGACAGGAGAGGAAAGUGGAAUUCCACGUGUAGCGGUGAAAUGCGUAGAUAUGUGGAGGAACACCAGUGGCGAAGGCGACUUUCUGGACUGUAACUGACGCUGAGGCGCGAAAAGCGUGGGGAGCAAAACAGGAUUAGAUACCCUGGUAGUCCACGCCGUAAACGAUGAGUGCUAGGUGUAGAGGGUAUCGACCCCCUUCUGUGCCGCAGUUAACACAAUAAGCACUCCCGCCUGGGGAGUACGGCCGCAAGGUUUGAAACUCAAAAUGAAUUGACGGGGUCAUAGCUG
Molecule: ribosomal RNA, 588 nt
Filed under: uncultured bacterium
Lineage: Bacteria
Description: partial 16S ribosomal RNA
Rfam family: Bacterial small subunit ribosomal RNA
Source: RNAcentral